GAUGAACGCUGGCGGCGUGCCUAAUACAUGCAAGUCGAACGAGUUCUCGUUGAUGAUCGGUGCUUGCACCGAGAUUCAACAUGGAACGAGUGGCGGACGGGUGAGUAACACGUGGGUAACCUGCCCUUAAGUGGGGGAUAACAUUUGGAAACAGAUGCUAAUACCGCAUAGAUCCAAGAACCGCAUGGUUCUUGGCUGAAAGAUGGCGUAAGCUAUCGCUUUUGGAUGGACCCGCGGCGUAUUAGCUAGUUGGUGAGGUAAUGGCUCACCAAGGCGAUGAUACGUAGCCGAACUGAGAGGUUGAUCGGCCACAUUGGGACUGAGACACGGCCCAAACUCCUACGGGAGGCAGCAGUAGGGAAUCUUCCACAAUGGACGCAAGUCUGAUGGAGCAACGCCGCGUGAGUGAAGAAGGCUUUCGGGUCGUAAAACUCUGUUGUUGGAGAAGAAUGGUCGGCAGAGUAACUGUUGUCGGCGUGACGGUAUCCAACCAGAAAGCCACGGCUAACUACGUGCCAGCAGCCGCGGUAAUACGUAGGUGGCAAGCGUUAUCCGGAUUUAUUGGGCGUAAAGCGAGCGCAGGCGGUUUUUUAAGUCUGAUGUGAAAGCCCUCGGCUUAACCGAGGAAGCGCAUCGGAAACUGGGAAACUUGAGUGCAGAAGAGGACAGUGGAACUCCAUGUGUAGCGGUGAAAUGCGUAGAUAUAUGGAAGAACACCAGUGGCGAAGGCGGCUGUCUGGUCUGUAACUGACGCUGAGGCUCGAAAGCAUGGGUAGCGAACAGG
RNAcentral lists this ribosomal RNA (784 nucleotides) under Lacticaseibacillus zeae. Its description in RNAcentral is "bacterial SSU rRNA". It matches the Rfam family "Bacterial small subunit ribosomal RNA", at positions 28 to 776 of the family's 1533-position model. Lineage: Bacteria; Bacillati; Bacillota; Bacilli; Lactobacillales; Lactobacillaceae. The record is from RNAcentral.